AGGAAUAUUUAGCUCACGUUUAGCGCGUAGUGUAGUGUAUGUACAGGUGCACACACAUGUGUAUAUUUAUAUAUGUGCACCUCUGAUUGCUUUCGAUCCCACUUUGGAGUUCAAUUAGAGGUGGUGUGAUGCGCGUGGUGUGAUGCUCGAAAGAUGCCUGCGAUCAGUUUUUUGUCUUCUUACAACGAGAUAAGAACGGGAAUGCCAAAGAUUUUGUCGCGUCAUGGUAGACGAUAAAGCGUCAAUCACGGAAACCAGGUAUCGUAUGGUAAAUGUGACUCGGGACGACGAUUCGAGGGAAACGCAACAACGUGUAAAAACAACGAUGCCUUCGGAACUGAGGUCGAUCAGCGCGAGCGACUGGAUUACAGUCGCCGUUCUCUGUUUCGUAAAUCUUAUAAAUUAUAUGGACCGUUUUACGAUCGCCGGGGUACUGACCGACAUUAAAGAUGAUUUUAGUAUUGGUAAUGAUAUGUCUGGACUACUACAAACUGCAUUUAUCUUGAGUUAUAUGAUAUUCGCACCAUUAUUUGGAUACCUAGGAGAUCGCUAUAGUAGAAAAUUGAUUAUGAGCGGUGGUGUAUUUUUAUGGUGCUUAACAACAUUUAUUGGUUCUUAUAUGAAGACAUUUGGAUGGUUCUUAUUCUUUAGAGCACUUGUUGGUAUAGGAGAAGCCAGUUAUUCCACAAUUGCACCAACAAUAAUUAGUGAUUUAUUUGUGAAAGAUGUACGUUCUAAAAUGCUUGCCCUAUUUUAUUUCGCUAUCCCAGUUGGAAGUGGCCUGGGAUAUAUCAUAGGAGGUGAAACAGCUCGUAUUGCUGGCAACUGGCAAUGGGGGUUACGCAUUACUCCUGUGUUAGGUAUUAUAGCGAUUAUAUUGUUAAUCACUGUGGUCAGAGAUCCUAUUAGAGGUGAGGUAGAAGGUGGUGUUCAUUUAACAACUACUACGUGGUCAUAUGAUAUCAAGCAAUUAUUGAAAAAUCCAAGCUUUAUGCUGUCUACUGCAGGAUUUACUUGUGUGGCAUUUGUAACUGGUGCUCUAGCAUGGUGGGCGCCAACAUAUCUACAAUACGGUUUUAAAUUACUUCCUUAUGGAGUAGCUGUCGAUCCAGACGAUGUCGCAUAUAAGUUUGGAUUAAUUGGUAUGGCAUCUGGUCUAAUAGGUGUACCAUUAGGUUCUACCAUAGCACAAAAAUUACGAGUCUAUUGGCAACAAGCUGAUCCUCUAAUAUGCGCCAUAGGUCUUCUAAUAAGCGCUCCUUUAUUAUUCUUUGCUAUGAUUACUGCCAAUACAAACUCUACUCUCUGUUAUAUAUUAAUAUUCUUUGGUCAAUUAUCAUUAAAUUUGAAUUGGUCUAUUGUAGCAGAUAUGUUAUUGUAUGUAGUAAUUCCUACAAGGAGAUCUACAGCAGAGGCAUUCCAAAUACUUAUCGCACAUGCUCUUGGAGAUGCAGGCAGUCCUUAUCUUAUUGGACUGAUAUCGGAAGGAUUAAAGUCCAGUCUCUUACCAGAUUUAGCUGUAGGAGGACAAUCUGCUGUUCAUGACGAUCAAAACAUCAUCGAAUUUCGUAGCCUACAAUAUGCAAUGUUUCUUACAAUGUUUGUAGAAGUAAUUGGUGCUCUCUUUUUCUUCCUGACAGCACUACACAUACAAAAAGAUAAAGCAUUGGUCGAUCUUGCUAUUGCAGUACAUGAAUUGUUCUCAACUUUGGACUUACAAGCACAAGUUUUGGGAUCAAAAAGAAGACAAAUUUCUAGAUACUAAGAAUAAUGGGCAAGCUGAAUCAACGCAUUUAUAGAUCAUCACUGGGCCUCACCUGAUAGUGUGCUGUGUAUCUGGUGGAAGUAUUUCAGACUCAGUGUGUAUUUGCAACGAUGCAGUUGAUAGUGAAUUACAAAAUGAUAGAAAUACAAUAUUAGAAUAUAAUAGGCAUUACGAGGAACCCGCGUCACACAUAUAGAUAUUAUAUAGAACUUUAAUACUUUAGAUAAGUUAUAAUUAUUACGAGUGUACAGUAUAUAGUUCUAUCAAACAUCAGAUUGAUUUGAUUUUAUAAAACAAGAUGUGUCAUAUAUUGACAUAAAAAUAUGUUCUGUAUACAGAACGUAUUUAUGAAGAAAAUUUGCAUAUAAUCAUAAGAGAGAGUAUCCUCAGAGAGGUAUUUGUAAGUUACCACUGUUAAUAGUGUACAAAUAUCCGAUUCACAAUGAAACUCUUAGGAUGUAGAUGGAACACCGCCUUUAUAAAUUGUACAAUAUUUUUAAAUAUUAUAUUUUUAUAAUCAUUGCAAAUUCACAUAUAUGUAGUAUAUUAUUGAAAUCAUCACAUAAUAAAUGCAAAUUGUAGGAACAAUAACACAAUGAAUAAUAAAACUGUAUUAGUAAACAAUUUGGGUAUAAGAUGCACAAGUAUUUUCAGACUAAAUUAUUAGUAACAUUAACAACAUUGCGUUGGUAUUAAAUUAUGAAAGUACUAAUAAUUGCGUGAUUGUUUAUUAAAAAAAAAC
RNAcentral lists this unclassified non-coding RNA (2507 nucleotides) under Camponotus floridanus (Florida carpenter ant). RNAcentral describes it as "protein spinster, transcript variant X1". Lineage: Eukaryota; Metazoa; Arthropoda; Insecta; Hymenoptera; Formicidae. The record is from RNAcentral.